GAUGAACGCUGGCGGCGUGCCUAAUACAUGCAAGUCGAGCGAACAGACGAGGAGCUUGCUCCUCUGACGUUAGCGGCGGACGGGUGAGUAACACGUGGAUAACCUACCUAUAAGACUGGGACAACUUCGGGAAACCGGAGCUAAUACCGGAUAAUAUAUUGAACCGCAUGGUUCAAUAGUGAAAGACGGUUUUCCUGUCACUUAUAGAUGGAUCCGCGCCGCAUUAGCUAGUUGGUAAGGUAACGGCUUACCAAGGCAACGAUGCGUAGCCGACCUGAGAGGAUGAUCAGCCACACUGGAACUGAGACACGGUCCAGACUCCUACGGGAGGCAGCAGUAGGGAAUCUUCCGCAAUGGGCGAAAGCCUGACGGAGCAACGCCGCGUGAGUGAUGAAGGUCUUCGGAUCGUAAAGCUCUGUUAUUAGGGAAGAACAAAUGUGUAAGUAACUAUGCACGUCUUGACGGUACCUAAUCAGAAAGCCACGGCUAACUACGUG
RNAcentral lists this ribosomal RNA (497 nucleotides) under uncultured bacterium. Its description in RNAcentral is "partial 16S ribosomal RNA". It matches the Rfam family "Bacterial small subunit ribosomal RNA", at positions 28 to 507 of the family's 1533-position model. The record is from RNAcentral.